ACAGCUCCUGCCCCUCUGAAGGAGUAAUUCUUUUUUGGAGGUGCAUCUGUGGGUCUUCAGAGAACUGUGACUUUAAGAUGUAGUCUAUUUUCCUCAGGAGCUUUCCAGUCCAAAUGUCACACAGAUAUGACAAAGAAUUCUGCAAUAUGUACUCCUCCCGCUCAUGGGUCCUGGGACAUACAUGCAUGAAUUUCUCUAGGGUACGUACCAAGCAGUGGUACACAUCGAAGGGUUUGUAUGUGAUUUAAACUCCUGAGAGCACUGAAGAAAAGUUUGUUCCACAUCCUCACCGUCACUUGGAUGUUCAUUAAAAUUUCAGUGUGGUUUUUGCUUUU
Molecule: long non-coding RNA, 335 nt
Organism: Cebus imitator (Panamanian white-faced capuchin)
Lineage: Eukaryota; Metazoa; Chordata; Mammalia; Primates; Cebidae
Exons: 2
Source: RefSeq, a predicted model, not a curated record